ACUCCCAAACCCCUGUGAACAUACCUAUACGUUGCCUCGGCGGAUCAGCCCGCGCCCUGUAAAAAGGGACGGCCCGCCCGAGGACCCUAAACUCUGUUUUUAGUGGAACUUCUGAGUAAAACAAACAAAUAAAUCAAAACUUUCAACAACGGAUCUCUUGGUUCUGGCAUCGAUGAAGAACGCAGCAAAAUGCGAUAAGUAAUGUGAAUUGCAGAAUUCAGUGAAUCAUCGAAUCUUUGAACGCACAUUGCGCCCGCCAGUAUUCUGGCGGGCAUGCCUGUUCGAGCGUCAUUUCAACCCUCAAGCUCAGCUUGGUGUUGGGACUCGCGGUAACCCGCGUUCCCCAAAUCGAUUGGCGGUCACGUCGAGCUUCCAUAGCGUAGUAAUCAUACACCUCGUUACUGGUAAUCGUCGCGGCCACGCCGUAAAACCCCAACUUCUGAAUGUUGACCUCGGAUCAGGUAGGAAUACCCGCUGAACUUAAGC
RNAcentral lists this ribosomal RNA (486 nucleotides) under Fusarium equiseti. Its description in RNAcentral is "eukaryotic LSU rRNA". The stretch from base 138 to 291 matches the Rfam family "5.8S ribosomal RNA". Lineage: Eukaryota; Fungi; Ascomycota; Sordariomycetes; Hypocreales; Nectriaceae. The record is from RNAcentral.